CACGCCGUAAACGAUGUCAACUAGCCGUUGGGAGCCUUGAGCUCUUAGUGGCGCAGCUAACGCAUUAAGUUGACCGCCUGGGGAGUACGGCCGCAAGGUUAAAACUCAAAUGAAUUGACGGGGGCCCGCACAAGCGGUGGAGCAUGUGGUUUAAUUCGAUGCAACGCGAAGAACCUUACCUACUCUUGACAUCCAGAGAACUUAGCAGAGAUGCUUUGGUGCCUUCGGGAACUCUGAGACAGGUGC
Molecule: ribosomal RNA, 246 nt
Filed under: uncultured bacterium
Lineage: Bacteria
Description: partial 16S ribosomal RNA
Rfam family: Bacterial small subunit ribosomal RNA
Source: RNAcentral